This 679-nucleotide long non-coding RNA is filed under the name Monodelphis domestica (gray short-tailed opossum). Its description in RNAcentral is "lncRNA (ENSMODG00000035781.2)". The record is from RNAcentral. Lineage: Eukaryota; Metazoa; Chordata; Mammalia; Didelphimorphia; Didelphidae.
CUGACUAUGAGCAGUCCUCUUUGCUCUAUGAUUGACUCAGAACAGAGUAAUGGAUAAUGGAAUUGUCAAGUGGUACUCUUAAUCAUGACUUAGGGGCCCACCUUAAUCUCUUUCUGACAAUAUGUUCAUUACCCUUAUUGUCUCUGAGUGUUCAGAGCUUUUGCUGUUGCCAAUGUUGGUGCUACCAUUCCAGGAGUCUCUGAGGUCCACAACUAGUAUCAUUUUUCUACUUGCUCCUGGCAACACACAACCUCAUGUCACAGACUAUUCCUUCUGACCUAACACAGAAAUUGGGACUCCAGCAAGUUCAAUGACCAAUUACCCUAGAUGGCAGACUAUCUAUCUUCCGUAUUCAACCUUGAUUAGCUGUAAACAGCUGUCUGAAAGGUUUAUUAUUAUUAGGAUUAACUGGAAUAUAUGGUCAACUGACUUGAAAGGGUCAAUAAUCGAUAUACCAUUUUGGCAAGAAGGCAAUGAGAAGGGAAAAAAAAUUCCUUCUUCAACGGUUACAAAAGGGAAUAUAGAUCAAGAGAGAAUGAAAAGGAAGUAAUCUUCAAAAUAUAUUUUUGUUACUGGACAAAUGAGGAAGAAAAAGAGAAGUAUUGCAUUGAUAGCAACAGAGACCCUUGACAUCAUAAUAUAGUUGAAAGAAUAAAGUAGAUUAUAAGAUUAAUAAACA